RNAcentral lists this long non-coding RNA (17424 nucleotides) under Cucumis sativus (cucumber). RNAcentral's name for it is "long non-coding RNA (CSAT_LNC000645)". The record is from RNAcentral. Lineage: Eukaryota; Viridiplantae; Streptophyta; Magnoliopsida; Cucurbitales; Cucurbitaceae.
UAGUCUCUUGAAGGUGAUUCUCUAACAAAGUUAAAUAGGAAUUGAAUUCGAUCCAUGUGGCUAAAUGUUAUUACCGAAGUAGACUGCAAAUGCAAUAUGAUCACAAACGAACUUAACUACUCUUGACUUGAAAAGGCAAAGAUGCAUGCACAUCUAGGCGGCAUGUUAGGUUGUGUUCGGCUUGAACGCGUGACGACAAUAAAGUUGUUGAAAUGUGAGAAUAAUGAGGUGUUAUUCCUCGUGAAAUAUGUGGUAGAAGAUAUUCUAUAUCCAUGAAAGCAUAUAAUAGGAAAUUCCAAUUUCGACAUAUUUAGUGUUUUCAAAACUUGGUGGUCGUUGAUGGAAUAGUAUUUAGACUGAAAAGGAGAAUGUUUUUUUUUCUAUUGGUGGAAUGACUUUCCAAAGUUAAAUUUGUUAAUUUAUUGGUGAAGGUUGGUUUGACUUUGUUGUCGAUGAAAUUGUUUAAUGUUUAUUUUCUAAAAAAAGUAGUACUAUUUAAGACGACUAUUAAAUAUCAUGAACUAAUAAUAUUCAUUUUUUGUUUAAAUACAUUUUUAUUGGCCCCCAAGUUUUUUUUUUUUUUUUUUUGAAGUAUAUGAUAUUGUUAAGUUGGUCCUCAUAUUUGUUCAUGGAAGAUGAUCAUAGAGUUGGCCACAAAAGGUGAUAGUCGAAAUAGAUCACUAAAGAUGGUAGUUGCAUGGAGUUGGAUAUGAGAGGUAAAUCUAUGAUAAUCAACUCCAACAACCACCUCUUGAAGUUUGGCCACAAGAGGUGGUCAUCAAAGUAUGCCGCCAACGAUCGUUGUAGCUAGAGUUAGAGUUAGGUUUCAAAGUGGUCGUGAAAGCAUACUACUAAAGAUAAUUGUUAUCUUAUUGAAGUUGGUCAUGGGUAACAACGGACGAAGGAAGGAUGAGAGAAAUAUGAAAAGAUAAAGUUUAUGAAGUGGAAGACUCUCAAAAUAUUUAUUUGAAUUAUGAUUUGUUUUGAGACUAUCUAUGAAUUUGGAUACCUAGGGAGUGAAGUUGAAAGUCUUUAAAGGUUUAUAUUAUAAUGUGAAUGAAAGAAAUGAUGUAUAAAUAUAAAAAUAAAAAAGGAUCCAUUUGGGGUGUCUACCUGAACUCACGGACUAACAAUGGAAGUGUACUGUUUGAGUACAAAUUCUGUUGGAAGUUUUGAAUUUUAGUGUUUGUUUGGACGUUGGAUUCUUAUUUUUCUUUUACAUUUUCUCUUUACAAUUAUGUAAACCCAUGUGAUCUCUCUAUGCUUUUUUACUCAUUUCUUCCCAUUUGUUUCUCUCAAAUUUACUCAAUAUUAUUUCAAUGAACAUGCAUUGGAAUUACCAUAAUUACUCUCUCUCUCUCUCUUUUCCCAAAGUACAAUUUAACUUUAACUAUUAAAAUAAAAACAACUUUGACUCUCAACUUUUUGUAUAUAAUACAUAUUUACUUUUUAGGUUUUUAAGGUUAAAAAAGUAUGACAUCAAAUAAAUUUGGCAUAUUCCAAUAGUAAGCUUAGUUUAAGGGUCACGUAAUCUUCUGAAACUAGAAGUUUGAUUGUUCAUUUUAAAAGAAGAUUAAUAUGUAACAUGAAUUUUUAUUAAUACAAUUAUAUUCGCUACAAACUCAAGAAGAAACUAAAUACUAACAACUCUUAAUAUAAGCCGUUUUGUUAGAUUACAACUACGACCUCUAUUUAAUAAACAUUUGGGUACUCAUGAUUUUGAUCUAAUAUCCUAAAAUUACGCUCAUGUAAAUUCUAUACCUAAUCCUUCGUAUGUAUAUUUUAGUUAAUUGUAAUGGAUAACAUUUUUAGUUUAGGAUUAAUAAUUAAGUGUAUAUAUGAAAUAAUAUUUUAAAAAGUUACAAAUAUAGCAAAAUGUAUUUAAUAUUGUGAAUUUUGUUAAACUUGUCAUUAUACCAAAAUCUUACCAUUUUGAAGAAGGCAAAUAUGAAAUAGGGUUAGGGCACGUGAAAGCAUGUGAGAAAGUUAAAAGGCGAACAUUUGGUACAAAAAUACAUUCAAACUAAAAAGCUUCAAUAUAUAACAACCAAACUCUACCAAUUGGGGUAUUAAAUAAUAAUAGUCACAAUCUAAUUUGUUAUUUAAAAGUACAAUCACUUUCCAAGUACUUUUAUUUGAUUAGUAUGGUACAUAUCCCUUAUACUUAAUCAGAAAUGUGACAAUUUCAAGUAAUAAUAAUAUCUCAAGUAAUAACCCACAAUUAAUUUUACUCUCUUUUUAUAACAAUGUGGGCCCCUUUUGGAGAGGAUAUUUUAUGAGGUCAUAUCUAAUUAUAUACGUACAUAUAUAUAUAUAUAUAUAAUUCAUUUACUUAAAAGAAAUGAAUUUGUAGAAAAUAUAUAACUUAUUUAUUAUUUAUUUGUUUUAAAUUUGUUGUUAUUUAUUAAAGAAGAAAGACAAUAGUGAUGGUAUGUCCUACGCAUUUAUUAUUAAGAAGAGCAAUGUCUGGUGAUAAAAUGAAGUGUAUCAGAAAUUCUUUUUUAUUUUAUUCUAAUUAAUUUACGUAUUUAUUAAUUUGUUGUUUUAUUUUUUAUUUUAUUUUUAUUUUUUUGGAGUGGUCCUUAUAACAUCACAGCCACUAAGUCAGAAGUGCCUACAAUACAAUAAGACAUAUAUCCCCGCUUUCUAUAUUACCAAAAACUUCGAUUUCUCCGUAGACUGUGCAUCUAUCCCUCUUUUUUUUCUCUCUCCAUAUAAAUAUGUACCUGUAUGUAUAUGUGUAUAUUUGUAUGUGUAUAUAUGUAUAUUUGUAUGUGUAUGUAUGUGUAUAUAUGUAUAUAUGUAUGUGUAUAUAGGACAUUUCUUCAUAUUUAUUAAACAUUUAUGUAUAAUGGACAGUGUAGUUUCAUUUUUAUUGAUUAUUUAUGCUAAAGGACUAUGAUUAUGUUUGAUUGGAAGCAAUCAAAAUCAUAGCAAAAGAGAAAAAAAAAGGGUAGCCCUCAUAAAAAGGCACAACUCUUCAAAAUUAGGGUCCUUAAAAGCAACUUUAGAAGCUUUUUUCAAACAUCUUAUCGACAGUUGAUUGCGUGAAUAACGGCCAUAGUUCCAUAGGUAGAAAAGGGAAUCUUUUGUACUUUUUAGGACAAUCAGUUGGUAAAAUAACCUAAACAAAAAAUAAAAGAAAUGGUUUGUUUUUCAAGAGGGGCAAAAAAAUAAUAAUAAAAUAAAGAAAAGAAAGAAAGAAAACUAAUAUUAGAUCCAAAAAUUUAAAGCUCUAUAAACAUGGUGGCUCGAAUAUUGAUUCGAGUGCACGGUAUCCAAUGUAUGAACUAGUAUAAUCAGUAGAAAAAGAAACCAAGUUUUGAUAAACUUGAUAAACCUCCUACUCUAUUUUGUUAUGAUACCAUGUUAAACUACAGAAAUAAUGAAAGGGUAAGAUAGAUAGGACGAAAAGAGAAAUCGAGUCACUGUCCUAAAAGGGACUCCUUCAUGUUGCAAGAAAAAGAAAAUUGAAUGGUGGAAAAAACAGAAGAAAAAUCAGAGGCAGAGAGAGAGUGAAAAGCAAAGGGUCCAUGGUUCACAUCCAAAUGCGGUGACCCGGUGAACCAAUGGGGUAAAAGGGAUAUUCUUUUGAGAGUUUGAUAGAGACUAUUCCUUGUGUUUGGCACAUGGAAGGCCAUGUUACUCUUGUCCCCAAGUCUUCUUAUGAAGAAGACAACAUAGUAAAGCAGAUCAACCUCAACUACUUCAAAACUGCCACUUUUUACUUUUUACCACAACUACAACCACAUUCCCCUCUCACUGCCUUCCUCAUUGCCUUGCUACUUCUAAUCUAACUUUUAAACCUUACUUACAAUAUUGCAUUGUAAGCUGUCGUAUGAAAUGUCCAAACCCCAAAACAAACAUUUCGACUAUAGCAAUCUGGCUAGAAAAGGUUAACCCCAUGUGGGAUGUUGUCGUAAGGAUGAUCGGUUUCGUGGGUGUGUUGAAAAUGUAGACAGCAGUAGGUGUCGCCAAGUGCCUGAGACGACGCGGAGCGACCGACGUCCUCAAAAGAGCUAGUUUUAAAAUAAAAUACGAGUCGUCACCAAUCUUUUUUACGAUGUGAUUGGACACCGAAAUAAAAUAAACAAUUUUUAAAAAAAAUAAUCUGCGAAAAAUAGAAUUGAGUUCGGAAGUCAUUUGUGUGUGGGGAAGGUAUUAGCACCCCACAACACCCAUUUAGAAAAACGGUGGCCAAAUUUUAAAUCUUGAAUUGAAAAUAUUUUUAAAUUUAUUUUAAAACUAAUGUUUUAUUUCAUCCAUCAUUACUCCAAUAUUUGAAGUAAUGAUCUCAUAGAAUAAGUGGAAUUAUAUUCCAUUAAUUAGACUAUAUAUUGAAGGAAAGUUUCUCACCUUAAGAAAAUGAGAAAUUAUAACAAUUUCUCAAAAUCUAUCAUAGGCUAGUCUUUGAAUAAAGUUUUUUUAAAAAAAAACAUUGAUUAAAUUCAUUUUUUCUUGGGAUCAAAUCUCAGACUUCCAAAGAUGUGAUCCCUUACCUUAAGAAUUCUAGAAAAUCGGACUCCCAAAUUUCCUAGAUUCCAUCAUAGGAAUAUUUUUAGCGAAAUAGAAGUGAGUUAUUAAAAAGUUGAUUAAGGAAAACAUAUGAAAUAUAGAUUUAUAUUUUAAACAUUUUUUAAAAAAAAUUAAAAGGAAUAGUUGUAAAGUAAAAAUUUCUAAAUAGUUAAAAAAAGAAAUUUGAGAAAGAUCUUUAAAAUUAAGUCAAUAGAAAAUAAAUAUAAUAUACCCUAAAUUAAGCAAGUAACAUAAGAUUUUAUUUUUUUAAAAAAAAUAUUGGGAAUCGAAUCUUGGUCGAUUAUAUUUUGUUACAUUUAUUUUUACAUUUUAAUCAAUAUCUCAUUUAGUUUCAUUUUUAAUAACAAAAUUUUCAUUUUCCUAAAAUAAAUUAAAUGAGAUAUUUUGAGAUUUUGUGAAAAAUAAAUUAAUACAUCAAAUGAAUAUUAAAAUACUUUUAUUUAAAAUUGAUUUUCUUUUUUCUUAAAAUGAUUUAGUAAGUCAAAAUUGAUAUUAGAAGACUUUAUUUAAAACAAAUUCAUUUCUUUUUUUUCCUAAAACAGAACGAAUAUGAUAUUAAAAGAUUUUUAAAAAAUAAGUUGGAUUUAUUUUUGUUUUCUAAAAUGAUAAAAAUGAAAUAUUGAAAAAUAUUAUAUUAUUAUUAAUUUUUUUACCUUUUUAAGAAAAAUAAAUAAAUAAUUUAGCAAUUAUUACUAAUAUUAAUAUUUUAAAAAAUAUAUAUGUGUAGGAUAAAAGUGUGGUUACAGCAGGCCGUCACCUUAGUUUUCUGGUUGGAAGUUUAGUUGUGAUACGUAGGAAUUCAACAUUCAAACCACAUUAUGUAUACAGUUGAGAUAGUUGAAAAAUUAACCAAGGAAAAUAUGACUAAUGAGGGUCUAGAGUAUAAGAAACCUGGAUUAGAAAGAUAUACAUAAUGAAAGAACGAUUGAUUGGGAUGGGAAUUGAACAAUUGGACCCAUUUAGACACUGAUGGAGCAAAAAUAAAAUUUGAGGAUAGGAUUGCGCUGUACCUCGUAAGCAAAUGUGCGAAACAAGGGCGAGAUUGAUACAAAAUCAUGUCACAAUGAACAUGACUGCACAUGCAGGUCCAAACCAAAAGCAGGGCCGUAGGGUCCCAUCCCCAUUAAAUGUCAUGUACUAGAGAAAGGUUUGUGAAUGAUCUGAUCAUGGGUAUUCUGCGACAUCCUAAGAACUUUGCUCUGAAAAAAAAAUUAAUAUGCAAUCUCCCUUUGCUUCAGAAAGAAGAAUGCAUAGCAAUGACUGUGAAAACAGAGUAAAAUUGAAGAUAAUAUCACUUCACUGAAGCAGGGUUAAGACACUGCUCUAUUAUAACAUUCAAAUGUUACUUUUAGAUCUGGCCGACGAAAAGCCACCUUAGUUGUUAGGCCUUCGAACAAGAAAACAAAAGGUACCCUAUUAAAGUUUCUAUUUGCAAGUUAAAUGUAUUGAACAUUGCUUACAUUUCAUGUCUGCUUGAUCAAUUGAUAAGUUUCAUAAUACUGUUAAGACUUAGAAUGAUGGAAUGAAUGAUACAACCUUCCAUAAUUUUCCCUUGAAAAUUAUGUAAGUUCCCUUUAGAACACUACUAGUCCAGGCUUGAGUUGUCUAAGUCUUUGAUAAUAAUAUUUUACAACUCACAAUGAACUUAUGAAACAGCAACAUGAGAGUUUUAUUCAAAAUAACAUUCCAUUGGAAACCUAAAGCACUUCUUUCUGAUGAACAUAAAAAGUCGCUAAAUUUAGGAAUGGAAAAGAUUCUAAAUUUGUUCAAACCAAACAAGAAAGAUCAAAAUCCAAUUUAUCCUUUAAAAAAGAACCCCAAUUUUUGACACAAUCCUUUAAUCUUGCCUGAUUAAGGAAUAGAAAAAGAACAAAAUCGUAUACAUAUUUAAAGGGACCUCUAAAGAGUAUAAUUUCAUAUGACAAAACCAAAUGUCAAAAUCUUAAAAGAAAACGCAAUAGAGAAUCUUCAACUACAAAAGUACACAAUAUAGCCAAAAGGCUAAAAGAAACUUGGAGAAGCCAAAAAGUCAAAGACAUCUAAGCUAGCUAUGUAAGCUCCAAAUUUAAUGGUAAAUGAGUAAACUGGAGAAAUCAAAAUUCUUUAGAAAGGAUCUAAUUAUUGCAGCACCAGCUCUAUGUAAUGGAAGGACAAUAAUGUAUUUUAACACGAAAGACAUCCUAGUGCUACAUUAUCUACCUAUUUUCAGAUAGCACUUUAAGAGCAUAUAGAACCCACAAAGAAGCCUAGAGUUCCUUGUCCAACAGAUCAAAACAAAUCGAACCCAUGAAAGCAACAGAGAAAUAAUAACAGAGUGGUCCUUGCCUUUACAAUGGAAGGUAGAGAGUUAAGAUCAAGUAAUGCCCAUCACAAAGGUCCUAGUGCAAACAACACUUUCACCAACAAGUAAUUCCAUUCAACAGUAGUUAAACUAACGGAAAAGUAGGUGGAAUUCAUUCUCAACUUAGUUUAGAAAAACAACUCAAUGGUCAUGCGAAGAUACACAGCAUUUACAAAGCUUGGCAGCUCAUCGGGAAGUACGGCAAGAUUUCAAACCAUAGAUAAAUAAAUGAUGAAAACAUAGUGGUUAAUGUUGCUCCUAGACGCCUAGUUUGUAGGGAAUAAUCUCAAUGAAGCUCUAAAAAAAUGGGCACUUGAAGUACCACCAAUUGAAGGUCACAUUCUCUCGUGGUUUCUUAAUUAAUUUCACAUGAUAUCCCAAGAAAUUUAACUGAAACAUUAAGAAGGAAUCACUUGGCAGGAGUGAGACCUAAAAUGCGCAAUCUUAUCCAAUUCUGGUGGCAAAUGGAAAUCUAGUUCUAGCAAUCUCGAUUGCAGUAAUUCUUUACUACAUUGACGCUAUUAUAUUGUUGAGUGAGUUCUUAUUCCUUAAUAAUGCACAACUAGGGUCUUGUAUACUGCAACACGUUGAGCAUUUUGGUUCAACUUUCCACUAAAUGGGGUUGGAUGGCUUCUCACGUGGUUUCUCCAUGAGAUCCACGCGGAUAUUCAUGUUAUUUGAAUAUAGAGCCAAGUAGCCACUGGCUUUUAUUAAAUAAUAUUAUUUUUUAAAGAAGGGGUAACCACUGGCUUGUCAACUCAUACAUACAUCCUACCAAAACAAGUUGAAAACUGUCACCAAUGACAUUGUAUUUCAUAUAUUCAUUUCUUAAAAUUGUUGCCAAUAUGUGUCUAUGUGCAUGGCUAUCAUCCUCUGGAUUCAGAGUGCCGAGUGUCUCAGGAGAAAGAUGGGCAAGGCAGGAAGUUAACAGCACUAUACGAUGCCUGGACAUAUAUAUGUCUCUCUCCUAUGGCUUUCUAAUCUAUAGAAACCAAAAACCUAUCAAGUCCCACAUAAUAUCUCAGCACUUGAUUUCUUCAACCUUAAAAUUACAUAUGAAUGGUUAACAGGCUCAUCAAACUGCCACGGAAAAUGAAUAGGCCAAUACUUUCUUUAAUCUGUGAAGUGAAACUUGUGGAUGUUGGAAGGGAAGACCUCUGUUAAGGCUGAGAAUGCACGAAGCAACUUGAAUCUAUAAAGUAUAGCUUUGACGAGGAGACCAUCUUAGAAAUAGGGUUUUAGAACGUUAGAAGCAUCAAGUAUCACAUCAUCUUAAGAAUAUCCUAGCCGAUAAGAUUUAUUCAGCCAUUUGGUAAACUAGUGAGAUAGAGAACUUAAAAUGAAAAAUAAAUUCAAUGACAAGUUCUAACGUUUUAUCCUCUGUCAACAGAAGAAACUGAGACAAAUUGAGUCUGAUCAAUGACGCAAAAAAUCUAAAUAAGUAAAUGAAUGAAUACAAUUCCUGAAGAGCAUCAGGUGAAACUAAAAAUAUAUGGAUUAUUCAAAUGUUUGUUCAAAGGAAAACGUCAACAAAGAUGUGAAGCUCUUUCAAGCAGACAUCAUCUUGAUGAGGAAAGGUUUUGGCAGUGAUAUCAAUGGAUGAGAACUGAGAAGGGGAUUAGACUGAAGGAACCAGCCAUUUGCUCAGCCGAAAUGAAUCCGUACAAACAUUUGUUAGGAGUGCAUGUCAUUAGGAUCUCAAAGUGGAAAAAUACAACUGCUAUUAAUGAAAGGGAAAAAUUCAACCUGUCCUAUUGUCAAUGCUGCAAGCUGUAUGAAUUAUCUAAAAAGAAAUUCACGAGUACCUGUACCUCGCCUGGGAUAUAAUCUUUGUUGGCAAUGAUCUUUUGUUGUUUUCACAUCAUCUUCUAACCGAGCCAAAAUUGUUAUAACAGUCUCAUUAUUUGCCUUGUUGCCUGGUAAAAGUUAAAACGCAAAACUACAGAUAGCAAGAUGUGCAAGGAUGGGGAAGAGGAAAGCGAUGGAAGCAGGUAACUUGAUGCUCGAAUUGGCUAACCACCCACAAAAAUACGUACUUUAGGAGGAAAAAAGGAGGGAAUGUGUUUGACUAGUCAGUUAAAAUAACUGAGAAAAGGCACCUUUGUGCAUAAAAAAAGUAGGACUCAUCGAUUAAGGUAGUUACAAAAAAGUAUAAAGUAGAUGAUGUAAGCGGUGGGAAGAGCUAUACAAGUACUGAACUAAGUAGAGGAAGAUCCCUAGACCUCACGGAUAAUCUGAGGACUUGUACUUUCACCUUCUUAUUUUGUUCAUUGAUGUUUAGAACUGCCUUUAUGUGAUUUACAUAAAACUGAGUAGUAAUACUGGAUAUAACUAUGAUACAAACUACGCUCUUAUGAUCAAUGAAACCAUUUCAUCAUAGCACCUCAAAAUAAACAAUUUCCUCGUAAAUGUCAACUUGAGCCGUUUAACUUUUACACAAGGUUAUUUGAGUAGUGCUCAACUUGUGAUCUCUAUCCAGCUACAUGCAACAUCUUUAUACAGCCCUUCCUUUCUCACAGAUUCCCUCAAAUGCUCUAUCUCGUUCCACAAGCCAAAACCAGCAUAUAGAUUCGAUAGCAUAACUAAUAUCCCAGUAUUCUGAGGAUCCAAUUCAAGUGCCCUACGAGCUGCCAAAUUGCCCAACUUAAUAUUUCCCUGUUCCAAGCAAGCACGGAGUAAAGCUCCCCACAGGGAAACAUUGUAAUCCCGACUUUUGAUAUCAUUUACGAGCUUCCAUGCCUUUUCCAAUUCCCCAGCUCUACAGAGCAAGUCAGCCAAACAACUGUAGUGCUCUUGACCAGGUUCCAACCCAAAAUCACUCUGCAUGGAGUCAAAAUACUGGACUCCAAGAUUCACCUCGCCAGUAUGACCACAAGCUGAUAUGACUGUCACAAAAGCCACCCUAUCUGGUUUGAUCCCUUCCAUCAACAUCUGGUUGUACAGUUCAAUUACUCUUUUGUAACACCCAUUUCUACCAUAUACACUAAGCAUAGAAGUCCACAUUAUAAUAUCCCUUUUCCCAUCUUCUUGGCGUCCAAGUCCUGCAAACUUGAAUACAUUCCAUGCUUUUUCCACCAUCCCAUUCUUCCCAUACAUUUCAACUAAUGUGCUUUGCAAAUGAACAUCACUUGUAAUAUCAUAAACCGUUCGCAGUAUAUAAGCAUGCACUUGCUUACCUAGUGCAAUUGCAGAUAAACCAGUGCAUGCUCGUAAAGAAGCAGACAGAGUGAACUGGUCAUACUUCAAAUCCAGACCCUGCAUCUUCCGUAGCAAUUCAAGUCCUUCAACCCACAUCCUAGCCUCGCCAUACCCAGCCAGCAAUGCAUUUGCGCACACAGUAUUCUUCAUGGGCAUUUCAUCAAACACUUCAACGGCAUCAUAAAUCAAAGAAUUUUUUGCAUACAUAUCAACAAUCGCACUCCCAACAAAAACACUACACAACCAACCUGAUUUCCCCACGAAUGCGUGAAUUUGUUUUCCAUACACCACAUUCUGAACAAAAGAACAACCAUUCAAAGAGCUGCAAAGGGCAUACGUGUCAAUAGGAACCCCAUUAGAAUGCAUGAAAGAGAACCCCAUUAACGCAAAAUCUUGAAACCCAUGUCGAGAAAAGUCAGAAAUCAUUACAUUAAAGGUUAAAGAAGUUCUGGGGAUGAUGCAUUGGAAGAUGCCGUUUAAGCUUUUCGCAUCAAAAUUGGGGAUGAUUUGGGAGUAGGAUAGUAUAAGCUUAGAGUGAAGAUUCGGGGAGAAAAAUUGGAAGUGGGUUCUAAGCAAAUGAGCGUGAAUCUUCUUAAUGGUUUUGAGAUUUUUGAAUUGAGAAGAAUGGUGGAAGAAACUGGCGAAGGAAUCAAGACUUCGUAUAGACAUCAAACAAAAGAAUGGAUGAAGCAACAGAAGGAAAGAGCAUUUGGAAGUCUUUUUUACUUUCAUAUUUCAGGGGUACUUUCGUCAUUUGGUCGAUAUCGUUGUGACAGUUGAGAAGCCACAGUUAAAGAAAUAACGACAAAUUCAGGUUUCAAAGUACUUAAGUUUAUUGAUUUUCUUUUGCCCCUAAAUUUAGUGGAAAUAAUUUUUUUGGAAUAAGCAUCAAUUUUUAAUAUUUGAAAAACAUCAAAUUACAAAAAAAAUAAUGAAUCUAUUAAUUAAUUUAAAAGAAUUAUAUAUAAUUAGAUAUUUACUAUUUUUUUUCAUUAUUAUUAAAAUUAACUUUAUAAUUUUACUUUAUAAUUAAUUUUAGUUAAGGAACGAAGAAAAAUGAGUAUUUGGUCAGAGAUUGAAGAACCUCAAGAUCAAAUAGAGACAAAAUUUAUAUCUCAAACUUUAAAUUCUAAGAACUUUGUUGAGAACAAACUUAAAACUUAAAGCUAAAAUAUAAUGUUUCGAAAUAUAUACAUUAUAAUAGAAACUGGAGACAAAAUUUAAGAAGUAAUUGGUUUUUCCUAAAGAAAAAGAUGGUAUAAGCUUGAGAGUAUUAAUUAGAUCUCCAAAUCCAAAUGGAAUCCUGUUAUUCAUAUUAUUAUUUGAACUAUUGAGAAUGGUUUUGAAAAUUUUAAAAUCCUUGUGGCAGAUGACGACAUUAUUUUGAAAUAUAUUAAAAUACUAUGAUUUUUUAACAAUUAAAUUGCACUUAACAAAACCAAAUAUAGUUGGCUUAAAUUUAAGGUCUAUAGCCUACAAUGAAUUUCUCGAUCUCAAAUUAUACUUGUGAUUUUAAAAAGUAGAUAAGAUUCGUGUUAUUAUGUCAAAUGGUUUGGUUUUUCAUCAUUUUAAUUGUUUGACUAAAGAAACAAAUAGGGUAAGACUCGUGCAGUUUCAAAAAAAAAAAAAUCACUAUAUAAUUAUUUAAAACUAAAGCAAGUGUUAGUAUUUAGUAAAAAAAACUAGGUUAAAAAAAUAAACAUCGAAACGUAGAGGCCGACUUGAAACAAAACUAAGUAUAAAUAACAAAAUUAUAACAUUUUAAAACUCAUGGACUAAAUUGAAGCCAAAUUUAACCUAAUGACCAAGAGUGUAACAUUUUAAAACUUAAAUAUCAAAUAAAAACAAAACUCUAAACAAAGUAAAACAUAUUUUUCCAGUAAAAGUGCUUGGCAUACUUUUCAAGUGUUUAAUGUUAAAUGAAAAAUACAUGAAAAGUCAUUUUAGAAAAUUUUGAAGUGUUCAACAACUCAAAAAUAGAACUUUAGAAAAAUGAGUUUGUAUAAUAAGUUGGUUUAUGAUACACUUGAAAUCAACUUUUAGAAAAAACUAUUUUUAAAUGUUUAGAAGUUAAUCUCUCCCUAAUUUGAAUAGUCCUUAAAAUUACCAAAACGUCUCAAAAGUCAUCUACCUCAGUUCUAUUAUGUUGUUGGCUACCAUUGCUCUCUACUAUUGCGUGACCACCAUCGUCCCCAACCACGUUCAACUACCAUCACCAGAAACUCUAACCACCACCACCAUUGACCACCCUCACUUUUUUUUUUUGUAAUCAACCAACUUUAGUGACUAUUAUUUUAAAUUAUUAAUUCAAAGUAUUUUGUAGUUGCUCUUUAUAGUACUUUAACAUUAAUAAGAACAUUCUUAUCAUAUAACAAACAAAAGAAACUUGUAUAUAUAAACACACAUUUAAGAAAGAAAUUAUAAAAAACACACGUAUCUUUAUUUUAAAUAGUUUUUAUUAAAAAUGUUUAAUGACAACGACUUUAUGAAAAAUAUCUUUUUUAGCCAAUCCAACCAGAAAUCAUUGUAUACUUCCCUCUCAUAGAGUUAUUGCCUCAGACGAUGAUUAAAAGAUGAAAGAAAAGCCUCAAAAAUGGGAAGGGAGAGAUUGUCCACCACUAUACAAAAAAAAUCAUGUUUACAUUCAUUUUCAAAUGCUAAAAAACUCUACUUCCCAAGCCUAAAAGUGAUUUCAAUGGAAAUAUCUUCUCUACAUGGAUUAGUUAGGCUCCCCAUUGGAUGACCAAAGCCAAAUUUUUCUUCAGCUCUGUUUUGCAAAUCCUAAAAUGAAGGCUGUUUUAAGUAUGAUAUUGAAACCACAUUACCUGCAAAGAAGCCUUUUGGAACCUUCAAUGAUGUUGAGAUUCCCCUUCUUUCACUCAAAACGCACCAUUUAAGAACUUCCUAGGUGAGAAUAGCACUUUGUAAGUGGAUUCCCACGUUGGAUUUUUCGUAACAAUUAAAUGAAACUGCAGACUAAGUUUACGUUUGUAUUAGUUUAGGAAUGGUACAAAAAUGAACCGAUAUCCCAUCUAAAUAAAAGAAAUCACGAGAAUAUAAAAGUAUGGUUAAGAAAAGCUUAAAAAAAUAAAAAUUUACUUCAUAUAUCAAUAAAGUGCACCUCAUAAGAAUUUCAAAGUCAAGUGGUGCUUGUUCAUUUGUGAGGAUAGUCUUCAAUCUUAGAAUAAGUUUUAAGACAAGUAUGGUGUAAUAAUAUCAUAAAAGUUCUGAGGCAAUGGAGAGAGGAAGAGGCAGGAGGCAGGUUAGCAUAGUUCACAAGGGCUUCACAUGGGUCUGUCUUCCAACUUGCAGUUUGGGUUCAGGGCUAAGAAAGUUACACUGUCACAGUUUGGUCCUAAACAAAUGUCCUACAGAAUCAACCAUAACCCAAUUUGAGGACCAGCAGAAGAUUGGAAAGGGACGGCUGGAAGGGUGAGAACCUUAAAUUUAGAGGCACAGUUAGGUGACUCUUAGGGAGGGUGGGGAGAGACCAAAUAUGUGAAUGUUGUCCAAAGAAAGCAACUAGGACGGAGUGGGUGCAAAUUCAAAGAAAGCAAAAGAGACAAUUCUAUGGGAUAACAUUUACAUACAAAACCAACAGAAAGCAGAUUCCCUCUCAUGUGGGUUUGAAAGAAAAUUACAACAUAAAUGAAUGCUAGAUGAUUUCGACUCUUUUUACUGUUGAUUGAAACAUAUACAAAGCUCUCACGCAUUCUUUGUUUUUUCCUACCUUAAAUAAAGAAGCAGAAGAAGCAGAAAUACAAUAAAUGCAGAAAAUCAGGACCACAGGAACUCGCAUUGGUGGUUACUGGUUAGUGUAGGAAUUUGAAAAAUCUUCUUUCUACCCUGCAUAGACUGACAAGUGGGCUUUGGGGAUUUCCUGAUUCAUAGGGAAUGUGCUUAGGAAAUAAAAUAGCCAUGGUUGUCAGUCCAAGAAGAGAAUUUUCAGAAUGAUUAGGAAUUAUGCUCAAAUGAAGAUAUUUAAGACAAGGAAUGGUAGGAAUAGCUCCUGAUAUUGACUAAAAACUGAAAUGUUGUUAAACGUGCUAAUUAAGAUUGGGAAUGAUGUGAUGCAUAUUUAGUUUAAAGAGCCUAAAGAGCCAUGUAGGAUUUAAUAUCUUGUGAGUUUGCAUGUUGUCCUAUGAGAUUAGUCAAGAUGCACAAAAGAUGACUUGAACACUCAUGGGCAUAAAAAAAUGGUACUUACCAAACGCUUUAUAGAAAGGCUCCUUUGUUGAUCAUAAAAUGUAUGAACAUUGGAAUAGUGGAUAAGCCUUCAGACAUCUAUAACUAUUCUUGCAAGAAACAAUUUGGUCUUAAAAAGAUGUUUUAAAAUUAGAACUAAUUUAAUAGCAAACUCAACUGUUAGUACAACACGUUGCAAGUGCCCUCCAGAAUCAUACGAGUAUGUUUCCACAAAAAACUGCUUAGCAUGAAAAUGAAGAUACACAUUUUAGCUUACUUGGGCCAGGAGAUAUAUAUCAACAAAGGGCUAGACAUCAUAUAUGUAUUACAGAGAGAAUAUUACCCUUUUCAAAUGUAGUAAUUCGUGAAGAGAAAUAUGUUCUCGAAGUUGAGCAGAAGAUGCAUGUAAUAAACUUGUGUUCCUCACAAGCUUGAAAGAUUAGAUAGAAAUGUCACGUUUUGAUGAAGUCUUGUGCUCCAUAAAUCAUUUCAAUAGAUGGAACAAAAACAAACAGCUGAAGGCAAAGCUCUUUAUCAGAACUCUUUUCAGUGUCUCUACCUCCUCUACCUACCUUUACCGCGUCCAACAAGAUCUUUAUAGCUUUUACAUCCUUGAAAGCUCCAAAAUUAAAAUUCCUGUCCACUAAUGUAAUCAUGUUUACUUGAAUGACAAAGGAAGGUUCCGAUGAUAAUGAAUGUAUCUCUUAGUACAAACUACAAAGGGGUGAUUAAAUGAAAGAGAAAAUCAAAGUGACUGCAGCCACAGGAUCUUGUCCCACCAUGCUAUCCUCCAAUGUUAGACUUGACUAUAAUACUAAAUUAAUACAAGAUAUUUUCAUCAAUAUAUAUAAUUAAAUGAGAAUUAGCUCAAAAUCUAUUUAGAUUAUUCUAGAUCUUGACUCUAGAUAUAAUCCGGUAUUUGACAAUCAUCAUAGAGUCAAGUGUUAAAUGACCAAUUAAUCCAAAAGCUUAAGUGAAUAGAUUAUGGUAAAUUUAAUUUUAUCAACACUUUAACACUCUCUCAUACUUGUGGGAUUGAAAUUUUGAAGACACAACAAAUCGAAAUCAACAUUAAUUGAAGAGUAUACGAGAUUUCAAGCGUUCCAACACAAGACCUUGCUCUAAUUGACCCAAAAACUUAACUUGAUGAGUUAUGGUACAUAUAAUUAUGUCACCAAUUUAACAAAUGGUGUGUGGGAGGAAGAAUAGUGUCAGUUAAAUGAUCAAACUUGGGAUGCGAUCAAUAAUUCUCUGGAACUAAUAAAGUCCAUGUAAAAAUUGGAACUAGUACUUAAUGGUUCUUGAUUGCUCAAAAUCUCUGUUACAGAUUCAAAUAUUUAGAAAAAAUAAUGAGUGGAUGAAGAGUAAGAACUGGAAAUAAACCAUUCACUAAACUACAUCGUCAAAUAUAACAUGAAAAUAGAAAAAAUUGACAGAAAACUUGGAGUAGCAUUCUUUCCUCAUAAUGAAUGACAUAAAGUAAGUUAUUAUUUGUACAUAUACUCUGAAGCUUGGUAAAUACUAAGCAAUGUGGCAGGAAGAGCAUAAUUAUCCAUAAAAUGAAAAAACAAGAAAAGAGAAAAAUUUGCAAGGAAAUAAUCUCUUCUUUUUCUAGCAUUAACUUGUUUAAUUUUGUGUACAUCAUCUGGGGAGGCAGUUCGACUCUCCCUCAAAAAAGUGUACAAUGGAAUGACAAUGUCUGAUCUACAAGAGACUAAUCUAACAAAUAAAUUUUCUUUUAUGACUCAUUCAGACGAGAGAUGAGAUCCAUGAAUGUAUCAUUGCUGCAAGGAAUAGUGAGACCUCCCAUGGGAUGAUUGUAACCAAAUUCUUCUCCAACUUGACUUAGCAGGUCCUUGAAAAAUGGCUCGUUCAAGUAAGCGAUAGGAAUCACAAACCGCUUCUUCUGGUUUUCCCCUACAUAGACUGCACAAUAACCUUUGCGGAUUGCCGACGAUCCAUGAUGUGUUGUUAGGGAAGAAAGUCUAAUAUUUUGCAUGACAUUUACCAUUCUUCCCAAACGGAAACCCAUGGUUUUUUUUCCCUCUCAAGAAGAAGUUGGAGUCUUGAAUUUUAGAAUCUAGAAGUUGCACAAUAUCGCUUGAGAGAAACAGAGGAAAAUAUUUGGUGGUGAAUUGGAAGUUUGAGAUUUGAGUAGCUUGGAAAUUGAAUAAGCAUGUAUAUAUAGAUUAAAAAGCAGACGUGGCCACUAGCUUGAUCUAAGAAAUGAGUGGUGGCAGGUGAGACAUCUAUGAAUGGGCUCAAUUAGGAGACAUGUACUUGUGAAGUAUACUGUAUCACAUGGUAGUGUACUCUAGAUAAUAAUCUUCAACUACUUGGAAAAUAAUAUCGGGAAAACAAAGUCACCUAACUACUUGGGAAACCCAGCCAAUAGAGGACCCAUCUGAGCUGAAAAGUGUGACUUAGUGAAAACUCAUUAGUUUUGUUAAGCAGGUUGCACAAGGAAUCGGUCAUUUACAUUUGUUAGAGAAAUGCAUCAGACAUCCAAACCGUUCCCCUAAUUCUUUGACAUGCCAACUUAUAGCAGGGAAACAUUCAUUUAAUGGAAUACAUUUUUAUGUCUAAACAGAAGGAAAGCCUAUCUAAUUAAAAAAUCUAAACCAAGUGACUCAAAGAUAUGAACAAAACCAAAGUUGGCAGCUAACCUCUGAUGACAUUAUUACAGCUCUUGGAGUCUCACAAACCAAUCAACAAGCCAAAAAUAUGAUGAGACUUAAGAUGGUUAUAAAAUAGCUAGAUAUGGAGAGAAUUUACCUGAUGCAGAUUGAGAGGUUAGCCUUUUUUUCUUAAAUUUUUCAUUUUGGAUUCCAAACUAGCCUAUGUGAAAGUUCACAUGAAAGCUGACCAACAACGUUCUCUCACAAUGAGUGGAUGUGGAGUUCGGAACAUUUAAUGAGAUCCUUAUAAGGAAAAAAUAAGUAACUUUUAGUUGAUAACUAAAAAUAUAGGUUACCCAUUUCAUAAACUAGUACUUUUCAAAAGAUUAUCAUUCUUAAGUUCUGGACUAACUAAACAAUAUGAAAACAUAAAACAUGCUGCAGGCUUACUCCAAUAACUCUUGAGGAUGAAGACAGUGUUUGUAGAUCAUGUGGAAAAAUUCAGUUUCCUGUUACUCGGGGGCAUUGAUGGAUACAACAAACCAG